This 801-nucleotide ribosomal RNA is filed under the name uncultured bacterium. Its description in RNAcentral is "bacterial SSU rRNA". It matches the Rfam family "Bacterial small subunit ribosomal RNA", at positions 263 to 1072 of the family's 1533-position model. The record is from RNAcentral.
GCCUACCAAGGCAACGAUCAUUAGGGGUUCUGAGAGGAAGGUCCCCCACACUGGUACUGAGACACGGACCAGACUCCUACGGGAGGCAGCAGUGAGGAAUAUUGGUCAAUGGACGCAAGUCUGAACCAGCCAUGUCGCGUGCAGGAUGACUGCCCUAUGGGUUGUAAACUGCUUUUAAACGGGAGUAACCCUUCGGACGUGUCCGGAGCUGUAAGUACCGUUUGAAUAAGGAUCGGCUAACUCCGUGCCAGCAGCCGCGGUAAUACGGAGGAUCCGAGCGUUAUCCGGAUUUAUUGGGUUUAAAGGGUGCGUAGGCGGAGUCAUAAGUCAGUGGUGAAAGUAUGCCGCUCAACGGUAUAAUUGCCAUUGAAACUGUGAUUCUUGAGUAUGGACGAGGCAGGCGGAAUGUGUAAUGUAGCGGUGAAAUGCAUAGAUAUUACACAGAACCCCGAUUGCGUAGGCAGCUUGCCAGACCAUUACUGACGCUGAUGCACGAAAGCGUGGGGAUCGAACAGGAUUAGAUACCCUGGUAGUCCACGCCGUAAACGAUGUUCACUGGCUGUUUGCGAUAUACUGUAAGUGGCCAAGCGAAAGCGCUAAGUGAACCACCUGGGGAGUACGUCGGCAACGAUGAAACUCAAGGAAUUGACGGGGGCCCGCACAAGCGGAGGACAUGUGGUUUAAUUCGAUGAUACGCGAGGAACCUUACCUGGACUUAAUGUAGGUUGCAUAGAGUGAAGACAUUCUUUUCUUCGGACUACCUACAGUGCUGCAUGUUGUCGUCAGCCUCGUGCCGUGAGU